CAUGAUUGUUACUCGCAGUUGCAUGAGUAUAGAAGAGCGCGUGGCAACAGAUCCCAACUUUUAACUGUCACACUGCACUUGUAUUCGCUACUGUUUUCAUUUUCAUUGGAUGGCCUGAAACCGAUACGGUUGCGACUCCGGAGAUAAGAAUCGGAAUCGGAGCCGUACACACCCACCGCCUAGCCAUGACCUCCCCCACUCUCUCUCUUCCUCCUCA
Molecule: unclassified non-coding RNA, 217 nt
Filed under: Hevea brasiliensis (rubber tree)
Lineage: Eukaryota; Viridiplantae; Streptophyta; Magnoliopsida; Malpighiales; Euphorbiaceae
Source: RNAcentral